GAUGAACGCUGGCGGCGUGCCUAAUACAUGCAAGUCGAGCGAACGGACGAGAAGCUUGCUUCUCUGAUGUUAGCGGCGGACGGGUGAGUAACACGUGGAUAACCUACCUAUAAGACUGGGAUAACUUCGGGAAACCGGAGCUAAUACCGGAUAAUAUUUUGAACCGCAUGGUUCAAAAGUGAAAGACGGUCUUGCUGUCACUUAUCGAUGGAUCCGCGCUGCAUUAGCUAGUUGGUAAGGUAACGGCUUACCAAGGCAACGAUGCAUAGCCGACCUGAGAGGGUGAUCGGCCACACUGGAACUGAGCCACGGUCCAGACUCCUACGGGAGGCAGCAGUAGGGAAUCUUCCGCAAUGGGCGAAAGCCUGACGGAGCAACGCCGCGUGAGUGAUGAAGGUCUUCGGAUCGUAAAACUCUGUUAUUAGGGAAGAACAUAUGUGUAAGUAACUGUGCACAUCUUGACGGUACCUAAUCAGAAAGCCACGGCUAACUACGUG
Molecule: ribosomal RNA, 497 nt
Filed under: uncultured bacterium
Lineage: Bacteria
Description: partial 16S ribosomal RNA
Rfam family: Bacterial small subunit ribosomal RNA
Source: RNAcentral